This 405-nucleotide ribosomal RNA is filed under the name uncultured bacterium. RNAcentral's name for it is "partial 16S ribosomal RNA". It matches the Rfam family "Bacterial small subunit ribosomal RNA", at positions 30 to 526 of the family's 1533-position model. The record is from RNAcentral.
AUUGAACGCUGGCGGCAGGCUUAACACAUGCAAGUCGAACGAGUGGCGGACGUGUGAGUAAUGCUUGUGACUCUAGCUUCUGGAGGGGGAUAACUACGGGAAACUUUAGCUAAUACCGCGUACCAUAGGAUGAGCCCAAGUGGGAUGAGGUAGUUGGUGAGGUAAAGGCUGACCAAGCCGCCGAUCUCUAGCUGGUCUGAGAGGAUGACCAGCCACACGGGGACUGAGAAACGGCCCAGACUCAUACGGGAGGCAGCAGUGGGGAAGAUUGCGCAAUGGGGGAAACCUGACGCAGCAAUGCCGCGUGAAUGAAGAAGGCCUUCGGGUUGUAAAGUUCUUUCGGUAGCGAGGCGUUAACUACAGAAGAAGCACCGGCUAACUACGUGCCAGCAGCCGCGGUAAUAC